RNAcentral lists this ribosomal RNA (253 nucleotides) under uncultured bacterium. Its description in RNAcentral is "partial 16S ribosomal RNA". It matches the Rfam family "Bacterial small subunit ribosomal RNA", at positions 524 to 776 of the family's 1533-position model. The record is from RNAcentral.
GACGAAGGGGGCUAGCGUUGUUCGGAAUUACUGGGCGUAAAGCGCGUGUAGGCGGUUGCCAAAGUCGGGUGUGAAAGCCUUGAGCUCAACUCAAGAAAUGCACUCGGUACUGGGCGACUAGAGGACCGGAGAGGAUAGUGGAAUUCCCAGUGUAGUGGUGAAAUACGUAGAGAUUGGGAAGAACACCAGUGGCGAAGGCGGCUAUCUGGACGGUUUCUGACGCUAAGACGCGAAAGCGUGGGGAGCAAACAGG